UACGUAGGUGGCAAGCGUUGUCCGGAUUUACUGGGCGUAAAGAGCGCGCAGGCGGUCGUUCAAGUCGCGUGUGAAAGCCCCCGGCUCAACUGGGGAGGGUCACGCGAUACUGAUCGACUCGAAGGCAGGAGAGGGUAGUGGAAUUCCCGGUGUAGUGGUGAAAUGCGUAGAUAUCGGGAGGAACACCAGUGGCGAAGGCGAGUCUCUGGACAGUUACUGACGCUGAGGCACGAAGGCCAGGGGAGCAAACGGG
Molecule: ribosomal RNA, 253 nt
Filed under: uncultured bacterium
Lineage: Bacteria
Description: partial 16S ribosomal RNA
Rfam family: Bacterial small subunit ribosomal RNA
Source: RNAcentral